AUUGAACGCUGGCGGCAGGCUUAACACAUGCAAGUCGAGCGGGGUGAUGGUGCUUGCACUAUCACUUAGCGGCGGACGGGUGAGUAAUGCUUAGGAAUCUGCCUAUUAGUGGGGGACAACAGCUCGAAAGGGAUGCUAAUACCGCAUACGUCCUACGGGAGAAAGCAGGGGAUCACUUGUGACCUUGCGCUAAUAGAUGAGCCUAAGUCGGAUUAGCUAGUUGGUGGGGUAAAGGCCUACCAAGGCGACGGUCUGUAGCGGGUCUGAGAGGAUGAUCCGCCACACUGGGACCGAGACACGGCCCAGAAUCCUACGGGAGGCAGCAGUGGGGAAUAUUGGACAAUGGGGGGAACCCUGAUCCAGCCAUGCCGCGUGUGUGAAGAAGGCCUUAUGGUUGUAAAGCACUUUAAGCGAGGAGGAGGCUCUUUUGGUUAAUACCCAAGAUGAGUGGACGUUACUCACAGAAUAAGCACCGGCUAACUCUGUGCCAGCCGCCGCCGUAA
Molecule: ribosomal RNA, 503 nt
Filed under: uncultured bacterium
Lineage: Bacteria
Description: partial 16S ribosomal RNA
Rfam family: Bacterial small subunit ribosomal RNA
Source: RNAcentral